AGAGUUUGAUUCUGGCUCAGGAUGAACGCUAGCUACAGGCUUAACACAUGCAAGUCGAGGGGCAGCAUGGCAGUUUGCUUGCAAACUUCCGAUGGCGACCGGCGCACGGGUGAGUAACACGUAUCCAACCUGCCGAUAACUCGGGGAUAGCCUUUCGAAAGAAAGAUUAAUAUCCGAUAGCAUAUCAAGAUCGCAUGAUCUUGAUAUUAAAGAAUUUCGGUUAUCGAUGGGGAUGCGUUCCAUUAGUUAGUUGGCGGGGUAACGGCCCACCAAGACAACGAUGGAUAGGGGUUCUGAGAGGAAGGUCCCCCACAUUGGAACUGAGACACGGUCCAAACUCCUACGGGAGGCAGCAGUGAGGAAUAUUGGUCAAUGGACGAGAGUCUGAACCAGCCAAGUAGCGUGAAGGAUGACUGCCCUAUGGGUUGUAAACUUCUUUUAUAUGGGAAUAAAACAGGGUAUGCAUACCCUCUUGUAUGUACCAUAUGAAUAAGGAUCGGCUAACUCCGUGCCAGCAGCCGCGGUAAUACGGAGGAUCCGAGCGUUAUCCGGAUUUAUUGGGUU
This 564-nucleotide ribosomal RNA is filed under the name uncultured bacterium. Its description in RNAcentral is "bacterial SSU rRNA". It matches the Rfam family "Bacterial small subunit ribosomal RNA", at positions 8 to 560 of the family's 1533-position model. The record is from RNAcentral.